GCUUCCAUCAAGUAUUCACUACGAUCCAGUAGUGAAUAAUGCUAAAUCUACAUCCAGUAUUCACUAUGAUCCACUCCAUAAUCUCAUAGCCGUUGUUUCUGGUUGCAAACAGGGUAAGGAAAUGUAACUAGUGGGAAAUUUAGUUUGGCAUGCAACUUAUAAUUUUAUCAACUGCUAGUUCGUGUCGAAGUCCUCUUAAUGCUUUAUGCAUAUUCUGGUCACAAGUAUGCUCUUCCACUAAUACUCUUAUAUUUUUCUAUCUUCAUUUCUUCAUCCAGAUCGGAGUCGUAAUAUUUUUGUUGACAUGUAUAUAAUUCAUUGGAGCAAUACACAAUGUCUUGAAAUAGAUAUGAAGGUGCGAAGGUUUUCUUCAUUGGAUUAAACCUACUGUGCUUAGUACAAAGCUACUUGUUUUUUUUUUUUUUUUUGGGGUCUCUAUAAGAAGCUUAUUUUCCAUCCAGUCAACAUUUUUCUAUUUAAUUUAUAAUGAUAAGGUAAUAUCCCUUAAUUUAGAAGAGUUUUGAAUAAUGAUAAACAUUACUGCCAGCUUGUUCUUCAGGCUUUUCUCAAGAGACAGCCACCUAAGUUAAGAUCCAAGAGACCAAGACUGGUCAAUCCACCCAAGUUGACUGCCGACACAGUUUUAAUUAGUUCUCCCUUCAAACUAAAAGAUAUAUGGAAUGAUUAUAUUUCACAUGAAAUGGUUCUACUUGAAAGCAGUUUGAAAUUAAUCUUUUUCGACUUUUGGAACUCCUUUCCCAUGCUGGUAUAUGGUGAGGCUUUAAAUCACAGGAACAUUGCCUGUCUAUUUUUUUUUUGAUAAAGAUUGCCUUUCUAAUUGUAAGACUGUCUUAAUAACAUAACGGCUAUCUGCCCUGUGAUGUCAAAUUCUUAUAUUUAUUUGGAAAGGAAUUAGAUAUAUUAUUUGAUUAACUUUUUUUUCCCCCUCUCAUGUUAUGUUAGACAAUGCUUAUCUUUUGGUAGGUCUGUUGACUUAAAAGACCCUGAUUAUGCUCAUUGGACUACUCCCACAUUCUUCAGGCUGUCAAUGCACUUUUUAUACCCGAGGGCUGGUAAUGUUUUGGUCUUGCUUAUAGUAUUUUCAGUAUUCUUUGGAUCAUGGAUCAAUUGUUUUUCGUAGGCCAUCCUGCAAUUUGUUAUCAUCGAUUCUAAUCGUGCAAGCUUUGUAAGUGUUUGAAUCAUAUAAAUCAUGAAAAUUUUCUAGAAUUAUUUUUAACAGCUUUAAUAAUUUGGUGGGUAAAUUUGCUCACCACUUUGAAUGUCAUUUAGGAGGUCACCUGUUAGGGCACAAAUAUCCCCUCGUAUUUAGGGCUGCCUUGGAUGUCCAUCUUGGAACUUUUUGUCUCUUAAAACCUUAGUAACAUUGACAUUGGUGCAAAGUAUCUGACACAGUUUCUUAAAAAACUUGGGAUACAAGGAAUAUGGAUUGUGAUUCAUUUAUAACACAUGGUUAAAUAAAAGAAACUAUAUCCCUUCUACUUGCUGUUCUGUAUCUGUUUCUCUUUUUAUCUAACUCUAAUCAAAGAAUGAAUAAAACUUUUCUUUUUCUCUCAAUGUAACUCUCUUCAUUUUCUUCAUACUUUAGAGCGAUGUGUGCAAUAUGUGUCGUAGUGUGUCCGACACGCGUGUUCUGUGUCCGCAUAUCCGACACGGAUUUUUUUUUUUUUUUUUGAAAACAUGGUGUGUCCAUGUUGCAUAGCUUAAAGCUGUAAACUCAUGCUUAUCCAUAUGUUAGGCUGACAAGAAGAGAUGGAGGUCAUUCUGAUAUAUCAUCAAUGCCUCAAUGGACUGGUAUCCUUAUUUUUUCCUCAUUUAACAAUUUGCAGGUUGUCUCUGAAAGGAUGCUCUUGCUUUCUAAGAAAAUGAAUGACCAGUCGAAAAAUACUGUGUCUAAUCAGAUUUCAGUUAGGAAGAAAAUUAGAAUGUAGUCCGAUCUGCCUCGUAUCUGGAAUCUCACAUAAGAAGUAUUAGGUUAGAAGUUUAUCCUCUGCCACUAAGAAAAUGAAUGACCAGUCGAAAAAUACUGUGUCCAAUCAGAUUUCAGUUAGGAAGAAAAUUAGAAUGUAGUCCGAUCUGCCUCGUAUCUGGAAUCUCACAUAAGAAGUAUUAGGUUAGAAGUUCAUCCUCUGCCACUAGUUCCAAUUGUUGAAGGAAAGUUAUAGUGCAUAUUAACUGCUGCAAUUUGAUGGCUAUAAUCAUGUUACAUAUUUUGGUUAUUACCUUAAUACAAUACAUUCAGGGGACCUAUCAAAGUUCUAACGUGAUUCUUCCUGGUGGUAUUUUUGAAAUAUGGACUACCAUAAACUUCUGUAAUUAUCUUCAAGUUGCUUUGGCAUUGCUUUUGCUCUUAUCUUUACAUAAUGUUAUGUUUCGAUCUUGCCUCUCAUCCAUCCAAGUGGUGUUGUAGCAGAAAUAUACUCUUGCUCCGACAACUAAAUGAGAUAUAUAUGUAUUGGUCAGAAAGUCUUGUUAACCAUCUUAUAUCCUAUCCGUCAGAUUUAAUUUGAUCAGUAGAUGAGAUUGGGAGUGUGAUUGGAGUCGAUAUAAGGGAGUCACUUUAGGUUCUUUUGUAGGGAAAACAUUAUGUUCCUUCCACAUGACUAGAAAAUAUAUAGUCACUGUCAUAUGUAGACAAAUCAAAAGACAAAGCAUGUUGUGGGGCUGAUUUAGAGGAGGGUAGAAAUGUUGUAAGACACUUUAAGUGCUCAACAACUUUUACUGUCACUAAUGUCUUUUACAUUGUAAUGAUUCCCCUUUUCUGUUGUGUUACUACCCUCCCGAUCUAUGUAACACCAUUCUUUCAUUUAUAUUGCAACUUCCUUACCAAAAAACAAAACUAGCAAGUCUAGCCAUGGGGGGGUUGUGACAAUCAAGAUCAGGAACAAUAUUAGGUCUAUGCGAGGGGUUGGUGAGAAUCAAGAUCAUGGACAUUGUGUCACAGAAUUACCCUAACUAGAUAGUUUCUACUAAUGUUGAGAAACAAAUGUUUUCCCACAUUUCUUGAAGAAGGUUGGGGUGUAGACUUUUGACAGUCAUUUUGAAAUUUUCUUUUCAACGUUUUAUGAUAACCUGUUGUUUAUUAAUAUUGCUGUUUUGCAUGUUUCUAUAUCUGUACUCCUUCAGGGGUAUUGGCUAUCAUUAUCUGAUAUGGACAUUGCUUAAUGGAAAACGUUCUUGACGCACAAAUCGCGCAUGCUGCUUGCAAAUCAAAUAGCAUCUUGGAUGGUUGGAGGUUAAAAUCAGUAAAUCACCAUAAGUAGUAAUUCUACCACAAUUUUCUCCAUCGCUAUUCACUAGUCACUGCUCACCAUAGGUGAAAAAAUCGUUUUAGUCCGGAUAUCCGAUCUCUAAAAAACUGGAUUAUUCCGCGAAUAUCCGACCUCCCAUGUCGGAUUUUUGAGGUUUGGUAAAUUCAAAUGUACUGGAAUUGGG
RNAcentral lists this long non-coding RNA (3453 nucleotides) under Aquilegia coerulea. Its description in RNAcentral is "long non-coding RNA (ACOE_LNC001242)". The record is from RNAcentral. Lineage: Eukaryota; Viridiplantae; Streptophyta; Magnoliopsida; Ranunculales; Ranunculaceae.